Budorcas taxicolor (takin) is the source of this 121-nucleotide small nucleolar RNA. RefSeq annotates it as small nucleolar RNA SNORA81. The transcript has a single exon. The record is from RefSeq and is a predicted model, not a curated record. NCBI's taxonomy places the organism in Eukaryota, Metazoa, Chordata, Mammalia, Artiodactyla, Bovidae.
UCAUUCCUGGAAAGUAACCACAGUACACACAAGACAAGUAACUGCCCUAGAUUGUAAAUUCUGAGGUGGACCUCUUUCUUAACGUCCAGUGUCCUUUGUCUUAAGAUUUGGUGCAAUAUGU